Long non-coding RNA from Sinocyclocheilus rhinocerous, 92 nucleotides. RefSeq lists it as uncharacterized. Lineage: Eukaryota; Metazoa; Chordata; Actinopteri; Cypriniformes; Cyprinidae. The record is from RefSeq and is a predicted model, not a curated record. The transcript has 4 exons.
UUUUCCUACACGACGCUCAUCCUGAUCUGCGCCAAAGGACUUUUUCGGGAUCUUUAGGAGGAUAUUGGAGUUGUAUUUACCUUAUUUUAACC